UCAAACCGGUGUGAGCCCGGUUGGUUUCUAUCCUUAAUUAUAUAUAAUAUUUUAGUACGAAAGGAUUAAAUAUCAAAAAUAUUUUUUAAAAAAAAUGAAUUAAAAUAAUUA
RNAcentral lists this ribosomal RNA (111 nucleotides) under Telmatoscopus advenus. RNAcentral's name for it is "partial 16S ribosomal RNA". The record is from RNAcentral. Lineage: Eukaryota; Metazoa; Arthropoda; Insecta; Diptera; Psychodidae.